Molecule: long non-coding RNA, 717 nt
Organism: Electrophorus electricus (electric eel)
Lineage: Eukaryota; Metazoa; Chordata; Actinopteri; Gymnotiformes; Gymnotidae
Source: RefSeq, a predicted model, not a curated record
GUCACCUGUUUAGUUUAGCCAGAACUAUUAACACAGCUUAAAGUCUCAUUGUUAGAUGAGAUGUUUAAUUUCGAGCAGUGCCCUGUGGCUUGAUGGCGCUUUCGGUAGGUCGGCAGAUGAAUACGCAGGACUCGCUGAUUUGUGUAAACUCAUCUGGAGAAAAUGGCCACUUGCCGUCACCUCCUCUCACCCUCCCACCGUCUGCGAAGUUAGGAAUCUGGAGACUACGGAGUUCCUUCUUUCAUCACCCAGCAUCAUCAACCAGGCUCAUUCAAAUGGCCAACUAUUCAUUCAUGAUGUUACAUGUUGGCUAACCUGAGGCCUGCCUCAUGUGCUCUCUGAUGAUGUCAUUAAUGGACCAUCCCUCUGUGUGUACAUAAGGAGAGUCACACUGCUCCUCCUGGUUUGGUUGGUUUGGUGAUGGAGACUGGACCAGUCUGUCCUGUUUGACAGGUCAGAACAAGCUGUUGCCAUGGUGACAGUGUCAUCAUGCUUUGUAAUGUUUAGAAUGUCCUUUGUAUUUCAGAGUGCUGGUGAACCGCUUACUGCUUACUUUAAAACACGCAGGAUGAGACAUGGUGUCAUUGAAGACACCAUGUGUGGUUCCUGCAGACCUGGACAAAUUACCUAUGCACUCCAUUUACCUGUACACUCCGAAAUGUGAUUGCCCUGUUAUAGUAUGUGUAAGAACAUGAUGGAAUAAAAGGCUUUGCUGGA